This 315-nucleotide ribosomal RNA is filed under the name uncultured bacterium. Its description in RNAcentral is "bacterial SSU rRNA". It matches the Rfam family "Bacterial small subunit ribosomal RNA", at positions 31 to 334 of the family's 1533-position model. The record is from RNAcentral.
GACGGAACGCUGGGCGGCGCGCCUAACACGAUGCAAGUCGAACGAGCGGAGAGAGAGCUUGCUUUCUCGAGCGAGUGGCGAACGGGUGAGUAACGCGUGAGGAACCUGCCUCAAAGAGGGGGACAACAGUUGGAAACGACUGCUAAUACCGCAUAAGCCCACGACCCGGCAUCGGGUUGAGGGAAAAGGAGCAAUCCGCUUUGAGAUGGCCUCGCGUCCGAUUAGCUAGUUGGUGAGGUAACGGCCCACCAAGGCGACGAUCGGUAGCCGGACUGAGAGGUUGAACGGCCACAUUGGGACUGAGACACGGCCCAG